RNAcentral lists this long non-coding RNA (1194 nucleotides) under Calidris pugnax (ruff). Its description in RNAcentral is "lncRNA (ENSCPUG00000004629.1)". The record is from RNAcentral. Lineage: Eukaryota; Metazoa; Chordata; Aves; Charadriiformes; Scolopacidae.
GUGCAUUUUUGCUAUUCUAAUUGAAAUUAAAGCUUCAUCAGCCUUAUUUUAUUGGUGUAGCCCGUUUUCUACUUCACUAGAGCUCGGACAAAAUAGACAGGAAUACAUCCAGUAAGAAGGUCUCCUCUGAUCUUUCGUUUCGAUGAGCACAUACUCCCUGCAAAUGGUUAACCGGGGAGCACGUAAUAACAAGGAAGGGGCCAGGAAUGACAAACCACCAACUCCCACCACUUCUGCAAACCCUUCGCCGUUGCACAUAAAGGCAAAGCCAUUUCUUAAAGCAAUGCAGGAUGUUACCACAGGCUGACGCUCUUUCUACAAGAAUAAUGAGCCGGUCCCCGCGCUGAAUGCGGAACUCCUCACUUCACAGCUUUUUUCCCUCAGACUUCACUUUCCGCUCAAUAUUUACAAAAUAAAGCCUACAACCACCUCACGGCCAAAAAUAUUCCCAGAACAAUUAGGGUGUUUAGCAUUCUCUGCUCCUUCGCGCUUCCCUAGCGCCUUGAGAGAGUGCUUCAACUGAGCAGGGGGGGAAGGAAGAAGUUACCCACGCGAACCCGCUCCGCCGGGGAGCGGCCGCACCCCACGCAGCGCUGCCCCCCACGCACGGGACCGGCGCUGCCCCACGGGGAACCCGACAGCGGGGCCGCUCCUCCCGGCAGCACCACGCCGACGGCGCUCCCCCCAGGCACCGCCGAAGCGGCGGGCUGCCCGUCGGCCCCGUGGGCAUCCGGCCACGGGUGGCACUCCGGGCGGGGAGAAGCUUUGAGCGGCCCAAGUUGGGAGGGCGGCAGGCUGCGGAGACGUGCCGCCCAGCGUGAAAGUGAAACGGGCGCCGCGCCGAGCUCUCCCCGCUGCCCGGUGACAACGCCCCGGAGGGACCCCACCACCGCUCCCCACGGGGAAAAACCAGACCGGCGCCUCCCGCCGCCACUCGCUCCCCGCACCGCCGGGGCAACCCCUUCCUCUCCGCUCAGGAGAAGCGGCGCCAGCCCACCCCGCCGAACGCCUUCUCCGGGGGCAGGAGGGGAGCAACCCCGCGCCCGCUCGGCGAAACGGGAUACGGAGGGCACCAACGGCCACGCAGAGACCCCGCAGAAAUUAACAGGCAAUGGGGCUGUGAAUAAUGAAGUCAAAGGCAGCUUUCUCCCUUGCAUCCCACUGGAAGUCCAGAUUGAAGGUAACUUUGGAUGA